AAGAAAUUAGCUCAGUUGGUUCAGAGCAUCCCGACAUUUCGUCGGGAGGGUCGGGGGUUCGAACCCCUCAUUUCCCACCA
This 80-nucleotide transfer RNA is filed under the name Pedobacter jejuensis. Its description in RNAcentral is "tRNA-OTHER". It matches the Rfam family "tRNA". Rfam says of the family: Transfer RNA (tRNA) molecules are approximately 80 nucleotides in length. Their secondary structure includes four short double-helical elements and three loops (D, anti-codon, and T loops). The record is from RNAcentral. Lineage: Bacteria; Pseudomonadati; Bacteroidota; Sphingobacteriia; Sphingobacteriales; Sphingobacteriaceae.